GUGACUGGGGCUAAGUCGUAACAAGGUAGCCGUACCGGAAGGUGCGGCUGGAACACCUCCUUU
RNAcentral lists this ribosomal RNA (63 nucleotides) under Bacteroides fragilis. RNAcentral describes it as "partial 16S ribosomal RNA". It matches the Rfam family "Bacterial small subunit ribosomal RNA", at positions 1471 to 1533 of the family's 1533-position model. The record is from RNAcentral. Lineage: Bacteria; Pseudomonadati; Bacteroidota; Bacteroidia; Bacteroidales; Bacteroidaceae. RNAcentral also lists the same sequence under 2 other names.